Long non-coding RNA from Heterocephalus glaber (naked mole-rat), 694 nucleotides. RefSeq lists it as uncharacterized. Lineage: Eukaryota; Metazoa; Chordata; Mammalia; Rodentia; Bathyergidae. The record is from RefSeq and is a predicted model, not a curated record.
UGGCACCAUGCCUGCCUGGCAAGCGCGAGGUCCUGAGUUCAAUUCCCAGUACCAAAAAAAGAGAGAAACAAGUAAUAGAACCAAAGGCGGCAUUCAGGAUGUGAAGGCAAAAACACUUUUAGCUGAGUUCAAAUGAUCCAACCUCUUUGGGCUUCAGUUUCCUCGUUCAUAAAUGAUUAGACUAGUGAUUUCUGAGGUUCUGAACUUCUGGCCAAUUCCCUCCUCCACUGGCAAAAUUAUAUGUAUACAUACAGCUUCCGUCCCCUACCCCUGAAAUAGGGAUUGAACCUGGGGCCUUCACAUUGAGCUACAUCCCCAGCCUUUUUUUUUUUUUAAAUUUUGAGACAGGGUCUCUGUAAGUCACCACGUUGUCCAUCUGGCCUCAGACUUGCAAUCCUUCUGCCUCAGCUCCUGAGUAGCUAGGACUACAGGAAAAGCUGCAAUCAAGUUCAUUAGGUCAUCUGAGAACAGGUCUGAGAGAAGGCCUGAAGAUCUAGCAUUCACAAGGCCCUAGGGGUUACCAUCCCCAAUAGGGCAAAAAAGAAAGAAAGAGCUGUGAGAAGACAGAAUGCACAGGAAGGAAGUGGAUGCUUUGGGGACAGCCAGCCAGAUACUCCCAGAGCCAACGCCUUCCAGGAAAGAAAACCAGAGCCACACAGGGUUUAACUGCUAAACAUAAAACUUUAUUACAUUA